UACGUAGGGUGCAAGCGUUAAUCGGAAUUACUGGGCGUAAAGCGUGCGCAGGCGGCUAUGCAAGACAGAUGUGAAAUCCCCCGGGCUCAACCUGGGAACUGCAUUUGUGACUGCAUAGCUAGAGUACGGUAGAGGGGGAUGGAAUUCCGCGUGUAGCAGUGAAAUGCGUAGAUAUGCGGAGGAACACCGAUGGCGAAGGCAAUCCCCUGGACCUGUACUGACGCUCAUGCACGAAAGGCGUGGGGAGCAAACAGGAUUACGAAACCCC
Molecule: ribosomal RNA, 268 nt
Filed under: uncultured bacterium
Lineage: Bacteria
Description: partial 16S ribosomal RNA
Rfam family: Bacterial small subunit ribosomal RNA
Source: RNAcentral